GGGGAAUUUUGGACAAUGGGGGCAACCCUGAUCCAGCCAUGCCGCGUGAGUGAAGAAGGCCUUCGGGUUGUAAAGCUCUUUCGGCCGGGAAAAAAACGCCUCUCCUAAUACGGGGGGUGGAUGAUGGUACCGGACUAAGAAGCACCGGCUAACUACGUGCCAGCAGCCGCGGUAAUACGUAGGGUGCGAGCGUUAAUCGGAAUUACUGGGCGUAAAGCGUGCGCAGGCGGUUUUUUAAGACAGGCGUGAAAUCCCCGGGCUUAACCUGGGAACUGCGCUUGUGACUGGAAGGCUAGAGUACGGCAGAGGGGGGUGGAAUUCCACGUGUAGCAGUGAAAUGCGUAGAGAUGUGGAGGAACACCGAUGGCGAAGGCAGCCCCCUGGGCCGAUACUGACGCUCAUGCACGAAAGCGUGGGGAGCAAAC
RNAcentral lists this ribosomal RNA (425 nucleotides) under uncultured bacterium. RNAcentral describes it as "partial 16S ribosomal RNA". It matches the Rfam family "Bacterial small subunit ribosomal RNA", at positions 356 to 773 of the family's 1533-position model. The record is from RNAcentral.